UCCCCGAUAGCUCAGUCGGUAGAGCGACGGACUGUUAAUCCGCAGGUCGCUGGUUCGAGCCCAGCUCG
RNAcentral lists this transfer RNA (68 nucleotides) under Bordetella bronchiseptica Bbr77. RNAcentral describes it as "tRNA Asn anticodon GTT, Cove score 87.19". It matches the Rfam family "tRNA". From Rfam's summary of the family: Transfer RNA (tRNA) molecules are approximately 80 nucleotides in length. Their secondary structure includes four short double-helical elements and three loops (D, anti-codon, and T loops). Lineage: Bacteria; Pseudomonadati; Pseudomonadota; Betaproteobacteria; Burkholderiales; Alcaligenaceae. The record is from RNAcentral. RNAcentral also lists the same sequence under 1 other name.